Molecule: ribosomal RNA, 484 nt
Filed under: uncultured bacterium
Lineage: Bacteria
Description: partial 16S ribosomal RNA
Rfam family: Bacterial small subunit ribosomal RNA
Source: RNAcentral
AUUGAACGCUGGCGGCAGGCCUAACACAUGCAAGUCGAGCGGCAGCACAGUGCUUGCUCCCGGAUUCAGCGGGCGACUGGCGGAUACUGCCUGGGUAUCUCCCAGGCAGUGGUUGAUAACGUCCGGACACAGGCGCUAUUACCGCAAACGUCCUGAGGACCUACGUGUGAAAGCUUCGGACCUCACGAUCUCGGAUGAGUCUAGGUCGGAUUAGCUAGUUGGUGGGGUAAAGGCCUACCACGGCAACGAGCCGUACCUGGUCUGAGAGGCUGAUCAGUCACACUGGAACUGAGACACGGUCCAGACUCCUACGGGAGGCAGCAGUGGGGAAUAUUGGACAAUGGGCGCAAGCCUGAUCCAGCCAUACCGCGUGUGUGAAGAAGGACUUCGGGUUGUAAAGCACUUUUGGUGGGGAGGAAGGGCAGCAAGUUAAUACCUUGCUGUUGUGACGGUACCAACAGAAUAAGCACCGGCUAACUUCGUG